GACGAACGCUGGCGGCGUGCCUAAUACAUGCAAGUAGAACGCUGAAGGAGGAGCUUGCUCUUCUGGAUGAGUUGCGAACGGGUGAGUAACGCGUAGGUAACCUGCCUGGUAGCGGGGGAUAACUAUUGGAAACGAUAGCUAAUACCGCAUAAGAGUAGAUGUUGCAUGACAUUUGCUUAAAAGGUGCAAUUGCAUCACUACCAGAUGGACCUGCGUUGUAUUAGCUAGUUGGUGGGGUAACGGCUCACCAAGGCGACGAUACAUAGCCGACCUGGGAGGGGGAUCGGCCACACUGGGACUGAGACACGGCCCAGACUCCUACGGGAGGCAGCAGUAGGGAAUCUUCGGCAAUGGACGGAAGUCUGACCGAGCAACGCCGCGUGAGUGAAGAAGGUUUUCGGAUCGUAAAGCUCGGUUGUAAGAGAAGAACGAGUGUGAGAGUGGAAAGUUCACACUGUGACGGUAGCUGACCAGAAAGGGACGGCUAACUACGUG
RNAcentral lists this ribosomal RNA (495 nucleotides) under uncultured bacterium. RNAcentral's name for it is "partial 16S ribosomal RNA". It matches the Rfam family "Bacterial small subunit ribosomal RNA", at positions 28 to 507 of the family's 1533-position model. The record is from RNAcentral.